UACGGGGGGGGCAAGCGUUGUUCGGAAUUACUGGGCGUAAAGGGCUCGUAGGCGGCCAACUAAGUCAGACGUGAAAUCCCUCGGCUUAACUUGGGAACUGCGUCUGAUACUGGAUGGCUUGAAUUCGGGAGAGGGAUGCAGAAUUCCAGGUGUAGCGGUGAAAUGCGUAGAUAUCUGGAGGAAUACCGGUGGCGAAGGCGGCAUCCUGGACCGAGAUUGACACUGAUGAGCGAAAGCCAGGGGAGCAAACGGG
RNAcentral lists this ribosomal RNA (253 nucleotides) under uncultured bacterium. Its description in RNAcentral is "partial 16S ribosomal RNA". It matches the Rfam family "Bacterial small subunit ribosomal RNA", at positions 524 to 776 of the family's 1533-position model. The record is from RNAcentral.